AGGGGGAGGGGAGCAUCAAGUGAAUAACCGUCCAUCCUUUGAAUAGAGAAAGGGACACCUCCCCGAACCACCUUGAACCUACCUGUUGCAAUCGACCUACCUAGCAGCAGCCCUAGGAUCACAUCUCCUGAUCCGUCAGUCGUGUUGAGGAUUCAAGCCCAACCAGUCGCGCAUUGAGAAAGUCUAACCUGACGCGGAUAUACUCGCGAUCGCUAAUUUAAAACUUUUGUUGUUUUCACAGUGAUCGUAUUGGGAACUUUCAUUUUCACGUAAACAGAUAUCGAUUGCUUUAAACUGCAGUUUUAUUUAUAUCUGCGCUCAUCAACAUUUGUACCUGGCGCCUUGGAGUUUUCACGCUUACAAUAAAGAACUGGGAGCGUAUAGUCAAUGUGUUCGAUUAAUUAUUCAAUUUAAUUGUUUUUUUAAUUACUGUCAAGUGAAUUGCGAUCUGAUCAGUGUUUUCGAGAUAUAAAGUGAAGGAUUAAAGCUUGAUUAUGGAAGUUUCGUCCACGAUUCCCAACGCCAAAUUGACUUGUUUCCCGGAAACCCGAAAGAUCCGGAAGCCAUUGAUGGAGAAAAAGAGGAGAGCUCGGAUUAAUGAAAGUUUAGACGAACUAAAAAGGCUAAUAUUGGAAAGGAAAUCUGAGGUAAGUUAAAUUACUCAAAAUUUCAUUCACACAAUAUUGUUUAAUUAUGGUAAAACUGGAGUCCACCAGUGAUUUAGCGGUGGGUAGAAUUUCAAAAACGUAAAAUUAAUGCAAUAAUUUGCAAGCAAAAAUGCAGCAAUGUAAAACUAUACCAUUCGUCAAGCAGCAAUCAUCGGUCCCAUUAUUGGAUUAAUACACAAAAUUAUUAGCUUUCAUUUCAUAAAAUCAGGCCGUUUCUGUUAUUCCCCCGUUAAACAGUCCUUUUCAACAUUGAUCUCCACACAAACUCGCACUGGAAAGUCCUCUAAAACUGCUGGUUAGAGGGUCGUAUUUACGAGUGGCUUAUUUUUCGUGAACUGCAUGGAUUUUCAAUUUAACAGUCCUUGAACAAUUUUGCGAGAAACAUUAUGAGGCUACAAAUUAUUCUUUAAGAUCACUCUUCAAGCUGAAUAAAUGGUGUUUCAGUUAAGUUCCUAGAAAAAGAGUCAAACUCCUCUGUAGGAAUAUCUAGAGUAAUUUAAUUUAUAUAAUAGAGGAUCCCGGUUACCUUAGCCGGAAACUUUGAAAGCACCAAAGUUCAUU
RNAcentral lists this long non-coding RNA (1229 nucleotides) under Bemisia tabaci. Its description in RNAcentral is "lncRNA ENSASIAIIG007970". Lineage: Eukaryota; Metazoa; Arthropoda; Insecta; Hemiptera; Aleyrodidae. The record is from RNAcentral.